UGGCGGCGCGCUUAACACAUGCAAGUCGCACGAGAAAGGAGCAACCUGAGUAAAGUGGCGCACGGGUGAGUAACACGUGGAUUAUCUACCUUUUAGUGGGGAAUACCUCUGGGAAACCGGAGACAAUACCGCAUAAGCUCGGAGGAAAGCAGCAAUGCGCUGAAAGAGGAGUCCGCGGCUGAUUAGCUAGUUGGCGGGGUAACGGCCCACCAAGGCGAAGAUCGGUAGCCGGCCUGAGAGGGCACACGGCCACACUGGCACUGAAACACGGGCCAGACUCCUACGGGAGGCAGCAGUGGGGAAUCUUGCACAAUGGAGGAAACUCUGAUGCAGCGACGCCGCGUGAGCGAUGAAGCCCUUCGGGGUGUAAAGCUCUUUCGACGGGAACGAUAAUGACGGUACCCGGAGAAGAAGCUGCGGCUAACUACGUGCCAGCAGCCGCGGUAAUACGUAGGCAGCAAGCGUUGUUCGGAAUUACUGGGCGUAAAGAGUGUGUAGGCGGUGCUCCAAGUCUGUUGUGAAAUCUCCCGGCUUAACCGGGAGGGUGCGGCGGAAACUGGUGUGCUAGAGGGUGGGAGAGGUAAGCGGAAUUCCUGGUGUAGCGGUGAAAUGCGUAGAUAUCAGGAGGAACACCUGUGGUGUAGACAGCUUACUGGACCACUUCUGACGCUGAGACACGAAAGCGUGGGUAGCAAACAGGAUUAGAUACCCUGGUAGUCCACGCCCUAAACGAUGCAUACUUGGUGUGAGCGAUUCAUUUCGUUCGUGCCGGAGCUAACGCGUU
Molecule: ribosomal RNA, 784 nt
Filed under: uncultured Acidobacteriota bacterium
Lineage: Bacteria; Pseudomonadati; Acidobacteriota
Description: bacterial SSU rRNA
Rfam family: Bacterial small subunit ribosomal RNA
Source: RNAcentral